This 761-nucleotide ribosomal RNA is filed under the name uncultured bacterium. Its description in RNAcentral is "bacterial SSU rRNA". It matches the Rfam family "Bacterial small subunit ribosomal RNA", at positions 1 to 761 of the family's 1533-position model. The record is from RNAcentral.
UGAGAGUUUGAUCCUGGCUCAGAGUGAACGCUAGCGGCGUGGUUAAGACAUGCAAGUCGAACGAUGAAGCCCAGCUUGCUGGGAAGAUUAGUGGCAUACGGGUGCGUAACACGUGAGCAACCUGCCUUGAAGUGGGGGAUAGCCCGGGGAAACCCGGAUUAAUACCGCAUGUGGUCUUUCUUCUCAUGAAGAAAUGACUAAAGUUUGUAAUGACGUUUCAAGAGGGGCUCGCGGCCUAUCAGCUUGUUGGUGAGGUAAUAGCUCACCAAGGCUAAGACGGGUAGCUGGUCUGAGAGGAUGAUCAGCCACACUGGAACUGAGAUACGGUCCAGACACCUACGGGUGGCAGCAGUUUCGAAUCAUUCACAAUGGGGGAAACCCUGAUGGUGCAACGCCGCGUGGAGGAUGACGGCCUUCGGGUUGUAAACUCCUGUCACCAGGGAACAAACGGCAGGUUCAUAGCCUGUCCUGAGUUAACCUGGAGAGGAAGAGGUGGCUAACUCCGUGCCAGCAGCCGCGGUAAUACGGAGACCUCGAGCGUUACUCGGAUUCACUGGGCGUAAAGAGUAUGUAGGCGGUUUGGUAUGUCAGGUGUGAAAUCCCGGAGCUCAACUCCGGAACUGCGCCUGAAACUACCAAACUUGAGGCCUGGAGAGGAGAGUGGAAUUCCUGGUGUAGCGGUGAAAUGCGUAGAUAUCAGGAGGAACACCAAUGGCGAAGGCAGCUCUCUGGACAGGUUCUGACGCUGAGAUACGAAAGCG